RNAcentral lists this ribosomal RNA (253 nucleotides) under uncultured bacterium. RNAcentral's name for it is "partial 16S ribosomal RNA". It matches the Rfam family "Bacterial small subunit ribosomal RNA", at positions 524 to 776 of the family's 1533-position model. The record is from RNAcentral.
UACAGAGGUCUCAAGCGUUGUUCGGAUUCAUUGGGCGUAAAGGGGGUGUAGGUGGCGCGCUAAGUCGGGUGUGAAAUUUCGGAGCUUAACUCCGAAACUGCAUUCGAUACUGGCGUGCUUGAGGACUGGAGAGGAGACUGGAAUUCAUGGUGUAGCAGUGAAAUGCGUAGAGAUCAUGAGGAAGACCAGUGGCGAAGGCGGGUCUCUGGACAGUUCCUGACACUGAGACACGAAGGCCAGGGGAGCAAACGGG